CCGUACUUCUUUCCGCUCCGUACUCGAAUUAAUAUCGUAUGGAAUGUAGAGAAGUAUGUUG
This 61-nucleotide microRNA precursor is filed under the name Eisenia fetida (common brandling worm). Its description in RNAcentral is "Efe-Mir-1-P11_pre stem-loop". The record is from RNAcentral. Lineage: Eukaryota; Metazoa; Annelida; Clitellata; Crassiclitellata; Lumbricidae.